Molecule: ribosomal RNA, 373 nt
Filed under: uncultured eukaryote
Lineage: Eukaryota
Description: partial small subunit ribosomal RNA
Rfam family: Eukaryotic small subunit ribosomal RNA
Source: RNAcentral
AGCUCCAAUAGCGUAUAUUAAAGUUGUUGCAGUUAAAAAGCUCGUAGUUGAAUUUCUGUCAGGAGUGACCGGGCCUUUGGAUGAACUUCCAUUGUUUUUUGCUCUGUUUGUCAUCUCUAGACAUCCUGGAAUAUUUUUUUUUAAAUGUUCCUCUUUUACUGUUAGCAAAAUAGAGUGUUCCAAGCAAAGCGUAGUUUUGAAUACAUUAGAAUGGAAUAAUAAGAUAGGACUUUGGUGCUAUUUUGUUGGUUUGCACACCAAGGUAAUGAUUAAUAGGGACAGUUGGGGGUAUUCGUAUUUAAUUGUCAGAGGUGAAAUUCUUGGAUUUAUGAAAGACGAACUACUGCGAAAGCAUUUACCAAGGAUGUUUUCA